RNAcentral lists this ribosomal RNA (253 nucleotides) under uncultured bacterium. RNAcentral's name for it is "partial 16S ribosomal RNA". It matches the Rfam family "Bacterial small subunit ribosomal RNA", at positions 524 to 776 of the family's 1533-position model. The record is from RNAcentral.
UCCGCAGAGGGCAAGCGUUGUUCGGAAUUACUGGGCGUAAAGCGCACGUAGGCGGAUUGUUAAGUCGGGGGUGAAAUCACGGGGCUCAACCCCGGAACUGCCUUCGAUACUGGCGAUCUUGAGGUCGGGAGAGGUGAGUGGAAUGGCGAGUGUAGAGGUGAAAUUCGUAGAUAUUCGCCGGAACACCAGUGGCGAAGGCGGCUCACUGGCCCGAUACUGACGCUGAGGUGCGAAAGCGUGGGGAGAAAACAGG